UGCUAUUACGGCUCGAUUCGGUUACGGGGCUAUUACAUCCAUUGCCUGUAAUAGCCAUUCCGCUUGUGAUUCGACGAUUAGGGAUUCCGCCCUUGUUUCCUAUUUCCUAUUCCAAUCACUGCCCUCAUCAAGCUUCCGUUCCCUUCCAGAGGUAAUUUCCCUUUCCCUUUCAUCGAUUUCUGCUUCUUUUUUUUAUCUGUGAUUCAUUUAUUCUCAUUCGUUUGUUAAAAUUUAUUUUUGUUCGCUUCUUCUUCUUCUCGUUCGUUUUCUUUUGCUCAAAUCUGCGAUAUUGAUUCUUUUCUUAUGUUUCCAUUGGGUUUUGAUUUUACUGUUUGUAUUGCAUGUUUGAUUUUCUUGUUUGAUUUCCUUGUUAACCCCUUCAUCUUAUUCCCCUUUUUUCCUUCAUUACUGAUGUUGAAAUUCCGCUGGAAGAACCAUAAAAAAGACAUCAGUAUUAGCUUCAAGAAUCAGAGGAGAGAAAUUCGAGAUUGCUCCUUUUUCUCUCUAUAAAUUUCUAGGUUUUAAGACUCAGUCUUAAUUAAUUAUUAUUAUCGAAAACGACUAUUUCCUUUGUUUAUUUGUUAAUCGAAAAUGAGCGAUCAAUCGGAGGAAUUGCCUCUCAUGGCUCCCCCACCGAUCACCAGCCCAGCCAGAUCGAUCUCGAAGCCGGUCCAGCCGAUCAAAUUCAGUGUCGAAUUUGCCUCAAAACUGACGAGAUUUUAUUGCUCCUUGCAAGUGCAAAGGAAAAUCAAAAUAUGUACAUCGGGAAUGUUUAGAUCAUUGGCGAGCUAUAAAGACAAAGACAAAGGCAUAAUGAUUUCAGGUACUCCAACAAGAUUCGAGGCACCCCAAGAAAAUUGAUCUGUCUGUUUGGUACAACCUAGCAUCUUUAUGUUGUAAUAAGGCUUCUGUCCUUAUGGUAUCUACGAAUUGGUUCUUUGAAACUGCACAAGAUCAUCUAUGACCUGAAACAAGCACCACAAGCUUGGCAUCUAGAGCUAAGUAGUUUCCUUCUACAAUAUGAUUAAGAACUCAGUUUCAUAUGUUUGUUUAUUCAUCUAUGUUAAGGAUUCCAUCCAAAUUUUAUUUCUUGGUUUAUGUGAAUUAUCUUGUAGUCCGAUGAAGUAAUAAUAAUUCCUCUGUUCAGUCUUUUCUGGCAACAA
Long non-coding RNA from Gossypium raimondii (Peruvian cotton), 1163 nucleotides. RefSeq lists it as uncharacterized. The transcript has 3 exons. NCBI's taxonomy places the organism in Eukaryota, Viridiplantae, Streptophyta, Magnoliopsida, Malvales, Malvaceae. The record is from RefSeq and is a predicted model, not a curated record.